Helianthus annuus (common sunflower) is the source of this 1119-nucleotide long non-coding RNA. RefSeq lists it as uncharacterized. Lineage: Eukaryota; Viridiplantae; Streptophyta; Magnoliopsida; Asterales; Asteraceae. The transcript is spliced from 3 exons. The record is from RefSeq and is a predicted model, not a curated record.
CUCUCUCUUCACACAAUCUUCAUCAUCUUUAUCUCUCUCAUCUCUCAUCUCUCUCUCGAAUCUUCAUCCUGAUGAAAUGAAGAAACUUAAAUCUUCAUCAACUUCAUCUGAUGUUCUUACCUCCCAUGUUUUCCGAUGAUGUCCUUACCCCCUGGCUGCAGAAGCGGUGGUGGCGGUUGUACGGAGGCAUAAGAUCACACUCCGACCACCGUAUCCUCUGCCACCGUUACAGUAUCAUCUGCCACCGUUCACCACCAUUCAACAGAGAUAAACCCCUAGACGCCGCCGCAUAGGGGGUGGGUGUCGUGUCUGAAAGUUGCCAGUUGUACCAGCCGCCGCCACCACCGUUCACCACCAUAUCUUGUAAAUUUACAAGUUGAGAUGCAUAAGCAUUUAAUUCGUUGAUGUGUUUGAAUUUUUGGGUAAUGGCUCGUGGUUUCUGUUUUCUAGAUAUGCGAAGAUGUAUGGGGUAUUUUGGGGAUUUCGUUGAGAUAAAACCCCUUUGUGAAGCCCAAGUUGGUUCUGUAAUACUUUAGUGGGUUUCUAAUUUGCAAAUUAUUUUUUGGCUCUUCAAUAUUUGGGGAGCAGAUUGCUUUUGAAUUGUAGAUAUUGUCAUGGGCAGUGGGUUUUUAAUUUGCAAAUUAUGAUCUGCAUAAAGUGAGUUGCCUUUUAUUUUCGAUCUUUGGAUUGAUUUGUGUUUUUGAUAUUUUGGGUUGAGUUGGCAGUGAUAGGUAGAAACCAAUUUUUUCGACAGUUGAUGACGAUGGCGCGGCAAGGAUGGCGGAGGGUAGGUUUUUGAACCUGCAACCCCAUUUUGCAGCCUUUGAUUAUUGAAAACUUUGAGCCAAACCCCUUUUUUUCAAGAUCCACACAUUGUUUUGAUUUUUGUUGUUGGGGUUUAUAUUUUUUUUUCAGUCGAUGAUGAUAAGUUCAACUUAUCUGAGACACCAACUGAGUCACGAUUUUUGGGUGAGUUCGUCGUAUUUGAGUGCUUAUGCGCAUGGUUGAUCCUAAGUCGUCGUAUUCGUCUAAAGCGUGAGAGAAGUCAAUGCGUGCACUAAUGAUACAGAGAAGGUGCGCAGUGAGUUGAGGGCUCGCGCUGUCAUGCUUUCUUGGUGU